Molecule: long non-coding RNA, 877 nt
Organism: Ananas comosus (pineapple)
Lineage: Eukaryota; Viridiplantae; Streptophyta; Magnoliopsida; Poales; Bromeliaceae
Exons: 2
Source: RefSeq, a predicted model, not a curated record
CCCCAGUUAAAUAAUAUGUAUUUGAGAGCUAUUUUUUAUUUAAACUCUCCGAGAGAGCAUCCAAAAUUCAAAAACACUGGCCAUAAAUCUCAGAGUCCACGGGCGCACAGUUGAUUAUCUGGAGCCCAGGGGGAUCCGAUGUUCCGUGUCGGCGUUUCAACAACCGGAAAAGACGACGACAACAUCUGAUCAAAUAAUAAUAAUAAUAUUAAAAAAAAAAAAAACCAACCACCAUUCUUAUUUUACCUCUUCUUCUGAAGAGGCUUCUUAGGAAAGCUAGGAGAAGCCGCACCUCUCCCUUCCCCCGCACGAGUCUCGACUACUCGGACGAUGUCUGCUUCGCCGGAGUUCUCUCGCGCUCUAUCGGGUUUCGCCCUGCAGCCGAUCUCGGUCGUGCUGCCGUUUGCCGAUCAUUCGACGGCACGGGACGAGGAGGAAGAAUGCCGCACGCCGACCGACCGAAGAAGCAGGCUGGCAUUCGAAGUCACCAGCUGCCCGCCGGCUCCGAAGAAGCCGCCGAGAGCACCUUCGUGCAAGCGCAGGCUGCUGGAGCUGGAGCUCAUAAGCGUGAGGCUUGAAGAGAUCGAAAGUUGGCUACGGUCCAAGGAAUGCAGCGCGAAGAGGCUGCGACGGCCACAGGGUGGUAGCUUUUAGCAGUUCGUUUUCUUCUGCGAUGAUACUGUGUAGGUGUAGCUUUUCUUGAUGUUAAGUACGUGUUUUAUGUAUGUAACGGACAAGUAGAUGAAUUAUACUCGGCGGCGGUUGUUAACGAACCAGUUAUUGUUUGGUUAUUUAACUUCUUCUCUUUUGUUUUGUUGGAAAAGAUUGGUGUCUUGUUGUUAUUAGAGCGAAAUAAUCUAUGUUUAAACUUUUCGAA